Molecule: transfer RNA, 75 nt
Filed under: Devosiaceae bacterium
Lineage: Bacteria; Pseudomonadati; Pseudomonadota; Alphaproteobacteria; Hyphomicrobiales; Devosiaceae
Also listed under: 2 other names
Description: tRNA-Gln
Rfam family: tRNA
About the family: Transfer RNA (tRNA) molecules are approximately 80 nucleotides in length. Their secondary structure includes four short double-helical elements and three loops (D, anti-codon, and T loops).
Source: RNAcentral
UGGGGCGUGGCCAAGUGGUAAGGCACCGGUUUUUGGUAUCGGUAUUCGCAGGUUCGAACCCUGCCGCCCCAGCCA